CCUCAUUUCAACCAAUCCAGCCAGAUGGGUGGGACGCCUACCACAGCAUGACUUUUGCCAAGCGGUGCCAUGUCCGCACCCGGGAUCCGAACCAGCAAACCCCGGGCCUCCGAGAAGCGGAAUGUGCGAACUUAACCACUGUGCCACCGGGCCGGCCCCCAGAUGUAACAAGAAGAAACUCUAUGUUCUGUUUUGCAGAAACUGAUGUUCCCGGUUUGCAGAUGUUGCUACCUUGCAGAGAAAUUAACACACUUGCCCCAAGACCCCUGCAAAUUGUUCCAGCUCCAAGCGUCCUAAAGCUACCUUAAGCUCAUUAGCAUCUUAAAUUCUCCUCCUCUGGGAGGGUCCCAGCCCCCAUUUCCAGAUCAGGGGGUGUACACAGUGGCAUGUUUACCUGCUACACAUGUGCCCUGAAAGAGCACAGUUGUUACAUGGCUGUUACAAAUAGACCUGUUUCCUCUGCUCUCUUGUGGAUGAAGUCUCCAGGGGCACUGAGCCCGGAGAGACACUGCGUUGGGUAACAUCCCAGGUGUUCUCCAUUGCUUGUGCAGGCAAUAAAGCUUUUCUUCACCCA
RNAcentral lists this long non-coding RNA (574 nucleotides) under Equus caballus (horse). Its description in RNAcentral is "lncRNA (ENSECAG00000038361.2)". The record is from RNAcentral. Lineage: Eukaryota; Metazoa; Chordata; Mammalia; Perissodactyla; Equidae.